RNAcentral lists this small RNA (189 nucleotides) under Arabidopsis thaliana (thale cress). Its description in RNAcentral is "ATSL045460". The record is from RNAcentral. Lineage: Eukaryota; Viridiplantae; Streptophyta; Magnoliopsida; Brassicales; Brassicaceae.
UACUUUUUAAUGACAAUCAUAUUAAGAAUUUAAAAGAAAACAAAAAUAUCUCAAAUUCCCGAUAUCAAAAUUAUAUUAUCUUCUUCUUUUUUGUUUAGACCAUUUUUCAGGUCCGUCUCUAACUCAUGGCAGUGUAUGACAAAUGCAAUGAGUCCAUUACAAAAUUCAGAAAAAUUCUUAAAGGAAAAA